This 576-nucleotide ribosomal RNA is filed under the name Meotica filiformis. RNAcentral's name for it is "partial 16S ribosomal RNA". It matches the Rfam family "Bacterial large subunit ribosomal RNA", at positions 1923 to 2761 of the family's 2925-position model. Lineage: Eukaryota; Metazoa; Arthropoda; Insecta; Coleoptera; Staphylinidae. The record is from RNAcentral.
UUUAAUGGCCGCAGUAUUUUGACUGUGCAAAGGUAGCAUAAUCAAUAGUUUCUUAAUUAGAAGCUGGAAUGAAAGGUUGAACGAAAAAGUUGCUGUCUCUUUAAUAAAAUAAUAUAAUUUUAUUUUUAAGUUAAAAAGCUUAAAUAUAUUUAAAAGACGAGAAGACCCUAUAGAGUUUAAUAAAUAAUUAUAUGAUAUUUUUUUAAUUUUUAAUUUUAUAGAAUAAUUUAUUUGAUUGGGGUGAUUAAAAAAUUUAAUGAACUUUUUUUUAUUAAAACAUAUUUAUAUGAAUAAUUGAUCCAUUAUAAUGAUUAUAAGAUUAAAUUACCUUAGGGAUAACAGCGUAAUUUUUUUUUAGAGUUCAAAUCGAUAAAAAAGUUUGCGACCUCGAUGUUGGAUUAAAAUUAAUUUUUGGUGUAGAAGCUAUUUAAUUAGGUCUGUUCGACCUUUAAAAUUUUACAUGAUCUGAGUUUAAACCGGUGUGAGCCAGGUUGGUUUCUAUCUUUAAAUAGAAAAUAUAUUUUAGUACGAAAGGACCAAGUAUUUUUAAUAGUUAAUAUAGUUUUGAUUAAAAAU